AUGGAUCCCUGGUGUAGUAACCUUUACUGUGUACUUAGAAUAAAUGAUAGGCAUGUAAUCUCAGAAUCUGUGAAUUUUUUUUUUCUUUCUUCUCAUAGAUUACUACUACACUCUUGCUAUAUGAGUAGCCUGUCCACACUGCUAUAUUGUGUUUGCUGUAAGGUGCUACUGACCCAGCAGCUGCAACACACUACACCAGUCCAAAAGGGAGAUAGAAGCUGCUGCACUUUUUCCCUGGAGAAAAAUGAUGGUUACUCAAAGAGAGUCCAGAAGUCAUCUUUGGUGUCUGGAUGCUGUCUCUGCUUCAGAGUCUCUCUGCCACAGAAUGAGCAUCCAUGCAGUCCCCUUCCUCAGCUGCUGCCUGUGACAUGAAGGAGAACAUGUGGAUGACACAAAGCAUCCAAAAGCCUUGACCCAACAGGCUGAUCCACUGCUAACAUGGAGCAGUGUAGCUGCAUAUUUGUGCGCUCUGAGGAGUUGGCCCCAAAGGUGACAAACUCACUUAGGAAUUAGUUGUGUAUUCUGUGACUGAUAAUACCAGUUUAAACAGGAAUGUGUAGUCUAGCAUAGCAGUUUAAAGUUGUAUAAACUGACUGUGACAUUGGUGCCUCUCCCAUAAGAAUUACAAGCUCUGUUCAUACAAAUUAGGGUUCUUAGAAGAAUAAGGUGAGGAAGCU
RNAcentral lists this long non-coding RNA (677 nucleotides) under Coturnix japonica (Japanese quail). RNAcentral's name for it is "lncRNA (ENSCJPG00005008624.1)". Lineage: Eukaryota; Metazoa; Chordata; Aves; Galliformes; Phasianidae. The record is from RNAcentral.